AUGGAGGAGCUUAUUAUCGAAAAAGUACUGGAUGGUAUUAUGGAAACUCGGACGGUCGGGGGAGUUUAGAAAGACGCCACACAAGGUCGGAAGCCGAAAGAGCCCUGGAAGGGUUGGCCUUUUACGAACUUCGGUUGGGGUUAUUUUAUACCCAACAACAGCAGACAAGAUAUGCGAUAAAAUUUUGGGGACCAGACCAGAUUAUGUCUAUAGUUUGGGAGUUGGAUCUCAUCCAAAAGGAAAGAGUUUCUCUUUUAUGUCUAAGAAGAAACUUCAAAAGGAGUUGGAGCAAUCGCAAAAGCAUAAUCAAAAAUAAAGAAUGAGAUUGUAGACAUUAAGGCGUAGAUGGAGCGUCAACAAAAAAU
RNAcentral lists this long non-coding RNA (365 nucleotides) under Elaeis guineensis (African oil palm). RNAcentral's name for it is "long non-coding RNA (EGUI_LNC035687)". Lineage: Eukaryota; Viridiplantae; Streptophyta; Magnoliopsida; Arecales; Arecaceae. The record is from RNAcentral.